This 69-nucleotide small RNA is filed under the name Flavobacterium degerlachei. Its description in RNAcentral is "Flavo-1 RNA". It matches the Rfam family "Flavo-1 RNA". The record is from RNAcentral. Lineage: Bacteria; Pseudomonadati; Bacteroidota; Flavobacteriia; Flavobacteriales; Flavobacteriaceae.
AAAUAGCCCCGGUAGCAGCGGUAUCCCGAACCCUUUUGGGUGAGGAUAUAGCGAAUAACGGGACAGAUC